Long non-coding RNA from Manis javanica (Malayan pangolin), 473 nucleotides. RefSeq lists it as uncharacterized. NCBI's taxonomy places the organism in Eukaryota, Metazoa, Chordata, Mammalia, Pholidota, Manidae. The record is from RefSeq and is a predicted model, not a curated record.
CCUCGGCCCGCGACUGCGGAUUCCGGUGCUCAACCCUGGGGCUCUCCUGACACGUCUGCCCAGGUCCAGGGCCUCAGCCGCCCUAACGCUCUGCUCUGUCAUCUUCAGCACACUUGUUGCCCGGGCUGCGAGGUACCUGGAAUUCGUCCCAGGAGACCAUCGACAGGGAAUAGAGCUGGCCAGCAGAGGAAGAUUGGUCUUGGUCUUGGUCUUGAAGGCAAACUACAACUGAAAUCUAGCCUUGGUAAAAUAAGAGAAGUGACCGAGCGAGCAGCUCACUUUCUCCAGGCUGAAGUCUGCUGAAGUAAUGACCUCAUAUUAGUUACUGAAGGACAACAGCCACACAGAAACUGUUGGCAGUUCAUAUGCAUGUGUGGCAAACCAAAUACACUUCAUGAAAAAUGAAAGAGAACUCCAAUGCUGCAACCAGCUCGGGCUUGAUGGGAGAAUGAGGCCAUCCCCAGGUCUAACAG